GAUGAACGCUGGCGGCGUACCUAAUACAUGCAAGUCGAGCGAACAGAUGAGGAGCUUGCUCCUCUGACGUUAGCGGCGGACGGGUGAGUAACACGUGGAUAACCUACCUAUAAGACUGGGAUAACUUCGGGAAACCGGAGCUAAUACCGGAUAAUAUAUUGAACCGCAUGGUUCAAUAGUGAAAGACGGUUUUGCUGUCACUUAUAGAUGGAUCCGCGCCGCAUUAGCUAGUUGGUAAGGUAACGGCUUACCAAGGCAACGAUGCGUAGCCGACCUGAGAGGGUGAUCGGCCACACUGGAACUGAGACACGGUCCAGACUCCUACGGGAGGCAGCAGUAGGGAAUCUUCCGCAAUGGGCGAAAGCCUGACGGAGCAACGCCGCGUGAGUGAUGAAGGUCUUCGGAUCGUAAAACUCUGUUAUUAGGGAAGAACAAAUGUGUAAGUAACUAUGCACGUCUUGACGGUACCUAAUCAGAAAGCCACGGCUAACUACGUG
Molecule: ribosomal RNA, 497 nt
Filed under: uncultured bacterium
Lineage: Bacteria
Description: partial 16S ribosomal RNA
Rfam family: Bacterial small subunit ribosomal RNA
Source: RNAcentral